UUUGCUUGUGGGCUGCCGCCCGCCGUUACCUCUCCACCGCGGCUAGAAGACAGCCAACUGGAGGCAGAGCGGUGGACAGAAUCUCCGUCUAUUUCACAACAGAUGCAUUCAACAAUUCACCGAAGUCUGGCCUCUAGCGCGGGAUGAACUCGGUUGGGGUGUCACUCGACGCCCACUAGGGGCUGAGGCGGUUCCAGUGCGCAGGCUCCGAGCACCGGAUAAAAGCGGAGCUGGCGAGUCUAGCGCCGUCUCGAUGGAGGAGCGAGAAACGGAAGAGGUCGGGGGGAGAAGCAGCAGGAAAAAUACAGCCACCGUCAGCGCCGCCUCCCUGCCACCGUGUAUCGGGGCCACCCUCCCACUCAUCAAUCCCCAUCAGCACGCUCUCUGGCCCCUGACUGCAGUGAUGCAAGAAAACAGUGAGAUAGGAAGCUACACACCAGUUACCAGCCCUUCGAUAUUCUCUAAUGCCUUUUUACACCAACCAGAAAGAAUGUGAGCUCCAGGCCAUCAGCACCUCCUUGUCUUGCUCAUGAGUGCACCGCCAGCUCCCAGUCCUGAGCCUGAUGGCAGGUGAUCAACAAAUACUUGCUGAACGAAUGGAAGAAUUAAGAAACAGAAGAGCAUCUCCCUCUCCCCUGCCAAUAAUCCACUAGAUAGGGAACAGAUUUCUGGUUCUUAGAAAGGCUUCUCGGGCUUCCCUGGUGGCGCAGUGGUUGAGAAGCUGCCUGCCAAUGCAGGGGACAACGGUUCGAGCCCUGGUCUGGGAGGAUCCCACAUGCCGCGGAGCAGCUAGGCCCAUGAGCCACAAUUACUGAGCCUGCGCGUCUGGAGCCUGUGCUCCUCAACAAGAGAGGCCGCGAUAGUGAGAGGCCCGUGCACCGCGAUAAAGAGUGGCCCCCGCUUGCCGCAACUGGAGAAAGCCCUCACACAGAAACGAAGACCCAACACAGCCAUAAAUGAAUAAAUAAAUAAAUAAAUAAAAAUAAA
Long non-coding RNA from Eubalaena glacialis (North Atlantic right whale), 987 nucleotides. RefSeq lists it as uncharacterized. The record is from RefSeq and is a predicted model, not a curated record. Lineage: Eukaryota; Metazoa; Chordata; Mammalia; Artiodactyla; Balaenidae. The transcript is spliced from 5 exons.